This 396-nucleotide ribosomal RNA is filed under the name uncultured bacterium. RNAcentral describes it as "bacterial SSU rRNA". It matches the Rfam family "Bacterial small subunit ribosomal RNA", at positions 28 to 429 of the family's 1533-position model. The record is from RNAcentral.
GACGAGCGCUGGCGGCGUGCUUAACACAUGCAAGUCGAGCGGUAAGGCCCUUUCGGGGGUACACGAGCGGCGAACGGGUGAGUAACACGUGGGUGACCUGCCCUCAGCUCUGGGAUAAGCCCGGGAAACUGGGUCUAAUACCGGAUAUGACUCCAUGACGCAUGUUGUGGGGUGGAAAGCCUUGUGCGGCUGAGGAUGGGCCCGCGGCCUAUCAGCUUGUUGGUGGGGUNAUGGCCUACCAAGGCGACGACGGGUAGCCGGCCUGAGAGGGCGACCGGCCACACUGGGACUGAGAUACGGCCCAGACUCCUACGGGAGGCAGCAGUGGGGAAUCUUGCGCAAUGGGCGAAAGCCUGACGCAGCGACGCCGCGUGAGGGAUGACGGCCUGGUGUAAC